Molecule: ribosomal RNA, 304 nt
Filed under: uncultured bacterium
Lineage: Bacteria
Description: bacterial SSU rRNA
Rfam family: Bacterial small subunit ribosomal RNA
Source: RNAcentral
GACGAACGCUGGCGGCGUGCUUAACACAUGCAAGUCGAGCGGUAAGGCCCUUUCGGGGGUACACGAGCGGCGAACGGGUGAGUAACACGUGGGUGACCUGCCCUCAGCUCUGGGAUAAGCCUGGGAAACCGGGUCUAAUACUGGAUAUGACUCCAUGACGCAUGUUGUGGGGUGGAAAGCCUUGUGCGGCUGAGGAUGGGCCCGCGGCCUAUCAGCUUGUUGGUGGGGUGAUGGCCUACCAAGGCGACGACGGGUAGCCGGCCUGAGAGGGCGACCGGCCACACUGGGACUGAGACACGGCCCA